Molecule: long non-coding RNA, 38458 nt
Filed under: Sorghum bicolor (sorghum)
Lineage: Eukaryota; Viridiplantae; Streptophyta; Magnoliopsida; Poales; Poaceae
Description: long non-coding RNA (SBIC_LNC015218)
Rfam family: MIR5565 microRNA precursor family (bases 17690-17798)
Source: RNAcentral
GAAACAAAUUUUACAUGCUAUUAACACUGGAGAAAUGUCACCUCAAUGAAACUGGAUGGAUGGAGUGUCAGCAAAUUGGCUUGGAACUAAUAAAAUUUCUAUGUCUAAUAAAAUUUACAGGCACAACUUUAUUUUGUCGUCUUUACAAAAAACAAAAAAAAUGAGAGAAAGGAGGUGAGAUACUGACAGAGAUAUUUUGCAGAAGUAGCGCCUCAAAAGCCAGCAGUCUUGUAGGAGUACAAAACAGCGGGCUGCUGUGCUGCCGCCCCACACACGACCUGCGAACCCCAGGAUGAGGCUGUGCCGAUCCCAUCAGCAGAGACGAUGCCUGCCAUGCUUGCCUGCAGUCCACGCGUGUGUCACAUGCAGUUGACCAUCAAAAGAUGCACACCACACACCACAGUAACGCCGAAAGAUCCAUCUCAGAAUCUAUCCAUCCAUCAAGGGAAAGAGAGGCAUUCGAGAGCCGGCUGGUACAGCUUCAGCAUUAGCACCCACCACUCCCUACCACCGCCUACCUCAGUCUCAGUGCAACUUCCACUUUGCACUCAUCAACCAGUGUCUCUGUAUGAAUGGCGUGAAAACGAAAUGCCCGGCCCCUCUUCCUCAACGCCGGCGCCCCAGCUGUUGCAGUACUGGCAGCAGCAAGACGAAGGGAUGUAGCCGGCCGGCGACACAGACGAGGCGAGCGCGCCGGCGCCUGCAACAGCCACUUCUAGUCUUGUAUGCUCGCGAACUCCCAUUGUCGGACGCCCAACAGUACGCAUCUCCUUGCUCUCCUAUUCCUGACACAAGGCCUUCCUUGCUGAGCGAUGGACCGGCCAAACUGGCCAACCUGUUAAUGCGCUCUGGGGUUUCAGCGCCGCUGAGAGAUGCCGCCGAUGGAUGUCCACACACUCGAUGCACCUGGCCCCGUGCCGCGGCUAUCCAUGAUUCUUUCAGGGACGAGGUUGCUGGCGUCGCGCAGGAGGUUCCUCUAGGGAUGCAAUGCGAUGCUCGCCUCCGUCAGUAGCACGACAUCAGGCAGGCAUUCCACCUGCAGCAAGUUUCAGAGAAUAAUGUGGUAUCAAUUUCAGCAAUAGCUUCCACUUACGUGCCUGCCUGCCUGCCUGUCUGCCUGGAUUAAUUUCAAAUGCUCAGCAAGAGAUGACUAGUCCCGCUACCUGAGUGAAGCUGCUAGCAAUCGCAAGAUGCUCCUUGUCAAUAUCCAUGCUGACAACAAGCGCUGGAAGCCUGUUAUGGUCUGACGGUUUCUUUCACUUCUGAUACGGCCUUUGCAGAUGCCCCCAUAUAUGCUGAGACAUAGUUCCAGCAUCAGCGACGACUGACGCUACUUAAGAAGGCGAGGGAUGUCAAUAGCAGUUUAUAGCAGAGGUUAACCUCCAUCGACGAGUACAGUGGAUGCGCCCUGAUUGAGUACUGACGCUUCCUCUGCUGUCAGAAACUGGCUCCUCCGAGGAAGUUGAGUCUUCCUCGCGUGGGUGGUUGCUCCGGCAAGUGGCGAUGCUCACCUCCAUCAGUAGCACGACAUCAGGCGUUUAACCUGCAAAGUUUAAUAAUGCCUUUCAGCAGACAGUUUGUAUCACGUCUAAUAAUGCCUUUGCACAUGCCUUAGUGCUAGUUAGUAUGCGCUGGGACAUAGUUCAAGCAUCAGCGACUGACUGGCGCUACUGCAAGGGAAGGAUAUGUCAAGAGAAGGUUACAGCAGAUGGAUGAGUACAUACAGUGGGUGUGCCAUCGAGCCCGAGCUCUGCUCUCAGAAACUGGCUCCUCGGAUCCUCCCAGGAAGUUGGGUCUCCUCUAAGUCGGCUUGGCUGGAAAUGUUAGAGAUAUCCAAUCCUUAACUUACCAAACCCGUGCAAUAGAGAGGAGAAAACACAUCAGUGAAUGCAUGUGAUAAAUGAAAAACAGAAAAGUGAAUGAAGAAACAGAGAAAGGAAGGAUCAAAUGUUCAGCCUUAUAAUAUUUCAGCCUCAUUCAUGAUCAAUCUUAACUCUGGAGAAAUGUCACUUCGAUGACACUGAAUGGAUGGACUGUCAGCAUAUUGGCUUGGAAGUAUGGUUACCUUGACUAGUACGGAGACAGAGACCUGCGCAAGCAGCUGUGACAGUGUUCCAGCACUGAUGACCUCCCAGCAGCUAGAGGUAUACAUCAUCCAAUCCAACCGACUGAAAAGGGAAGUUUGCGCUGAUCAGUUAGAAGAUUUGAAAAAACAGAUGGGAGCCUAUCACAUUCAGACUAAGUAGGUUACGUCGCGAUGAAACUCACCAAUGGUACAUCAUUUAAAAUCUCGAUGCUGAUUUAACAGCAUUGAUAUAUGGCUUUCCAUUAUCCCAACUUAUGCAUUUUGUAAAGUUCUUCAUGCCAGGGUCACAAGCAGAUAUCACGGGAGAUUGCAUCGUCAAGAAUGCCCUGUAAUGAAAAAUUUGCUCAAUCUCUGCUCAAAAUGGUCCACCAAUCACAGUCUGACCAAAAAAAAUGUUUGAUAUCCAGGUUACAUGUUGUCUAGAACCUAAACCAAGAUGGAAUAAAAAAAACCCUGAAACGUAGUAUCAUUGAUUUGGACCAUGUAUGCUAUGUCAAGCAAUUCAAAUAAGAGUGAAGAUUUAAGAACAAAGUUGCAGCACAAAUUCUAAUGAUUGGAAAGGAUUAAAGAAGCUAAAUCAGAGAAAACUGGAAGAGGGAUGGUUCCUAAUACUGUUACAGUGGUGCUCUUUGCAUGCAGUGCAAUGUAACAAGGUAAGGUGCCACUGAUCAGAUAAUAACAAAGUAAAAUGGCCACCAAAAAAAAUUGAGCUACUUCACGUUCAGCAACUAACAUGGGUGAUCCUUAGGUGGAACUUUUUGGUAAAAAAUAGUGCAAAAAAAGGAAGUGUUUGUUACCUUAGAUUAGUAGCCUCAGAACUUAACUAUGGGUAUUGUUCCUUGCAGCUUCCGGCACUGCUUCUGUAGCUUCUCGUUGCUAUUCGUGACAUCUAGCUUUUGAAGUGAAUUCGGGAGGCUGCCCUCAUGCAGCGACCUGAUAGCAGGACAGUCGCGGAUCCGUAAUAUCUUCAGUGAACUUGGAAGGCUUCCCUUUGGUAGCGACCGGAAGCCAUCGCAACUAAUUAUAUUUAGUUCUGUCAGCGAACUUGGGAGGGUGCCCUUGGGCAGUGACCGGAUGGCACCACAGCACCAGAUUUGUAAUUCCACCAGUGAACUUGGAAGUCCGCCCUUGGGUAGGGACCGAAAGCAGUUACAGUACUCGAUCUCUAAUCUCUUGAGGUUGGGAAGCCCACUUAACCCUUCUGGCAGGGACUGCAGCCUACAGUACCACUCAAUUCGAAGAACCUGGAGGGAGGUGAGCAUCUGCAGGGCCUCCGAUUGCUCCAUUGUGAAGUGCUCCAAGUCGCCAUUCCGACCAAGGCAUAGCUCGGUGAGAGAGGAAGAGAAGUGGCCAUGGAUGGGCACAGCAACGGCGCCCCCUGCUUCCCCAGCCGUUUCGAGCGCUUGCAGCCUGGAGCUAUGUUGGGGAAGAACUUGUUCGCACAUCCGCGAAGGCUCUGGGACAUCAAGUAAGUUGUGCGCUCCCCAGAUUUGUAAUUCCUUGAGAUGGCCCUGGGCGAGGAGAUGCCAUAGGUCCUCAGAUCUUAGACCCCCACAAUCAUGUAGGUCCAAUUUGGUCAGAUUUGUGAGAGGAGCCAGCGAAAGCAUGCCAUCCUUCACACCACCAAGCUGGAGGGACUGCAGGGAGGUCGGGAAAGGGCAGUAAAAAGAGGGGGGCGAACUGGAGGAUAGAAGCAUGGGGCAGUUACGUAUAACCAGUGAUCUCAGAGAGCUCUGAUUUUGAAGGGGCAUGGGCAGCUGUCCUCCUGCUGCAGCUUCUAUUUCCUCUGCUCCGCCUGCCUGCUUGUUACCACAACUCCAUAGUUCCAACGUUAAGAGGUUAGGGAAAUAAGAGAUUAGCUGUAACAAUUCCUUCACAGUGGCACCACAACCUGAUAUCUGGAGCUGUUCAACUGGGAACUCGAAUGGGGAAUCAUUCUCACCUUCAGUUGGCCACAGGACACUAGUACAGUGACUUAUAUGCAGGGUCUUCAGAGAAUUUAGCAGUUGUAGGUGAUGUAGAGGCACUUGUGAGCAUUCACUGAUCCUGAACUCCUUUAUUUCACUCAGAUUACUGAAGGCCAAUACAUUCCAGAGUUCAUGACCAAGAGCAUCCUUUUUGAACCCUACACGAAUUUCCUGCUCCUUUUUGCUGUAAUCUAAGUUCUCAAUAAUCUUACCCACUCUCUGCAGUCUAGCUUUGGACAGAGAACUACUCCAAGGAAUUGGUGGCACUGACACUAGUUCCUCACACUCUGAAAUGUAUAUCUCCUGUAGGUUGGGAAACAUGUGCGCAAAUGGCAGCUCUGUAAGUACAGAACAAUUCUUAACAAUGAGUACCUCUAGCUUAGAGAAAGGGCUAUCUACACUCCAUUUUUUCAGAGUUGCUAUGUUGACAAGUUCUAGAAAUUUCAGAUUCUGAAAGGUUUGCCCUGCGACGCUUGGCUGCUCUUCGCUGACCAUCAACAACUCUCCUAGCAGAGGUGGAAGACUUUUCCAGGCUACACCUUUGAGACAAAGGCAUUCCAAAUUCUUAGCAGAGUGAUCUGAACAUAGCCAGGUAGGGUAUGUGUGACCUCCAUGUCCUCUAAUGCACAGUUCUUGAAGAUUAUUGUGUGGCUUAAGGCAUUUAAGAAGAUCUUGUUCCUUUUUUGGGUCCCUAUCAGAUUGGUUUUCAUCCCAACCUAAUAUUAAUCGAUUUAAGUGUUGCAAGUGGACUAAUUUUAAUUCUUCCAGCUCUGUUGCACCACCAACCUUUUCAAGAUUACAAAUCUCCAAUGACCCAUGGAGCUGUAUCAAUUUCCCCAAUUGGUUCAAUUCAAAACCUUGUUUUUCUCUUUUGACCUCAAAUCUCCUUAUCUCUUGUAUAGAUUUAAGUUUCCCAACCUCAACAAUUCCACAAUGAUAUGAUUGAUUUCCCACAAGAAAAUGACGAAUUUUCACUAGGUUGCUCAUAUCUCUUGUAGAAGUGCACAUCUCUUCUGUGUCUAUACGAGGAAAAGUGUUGCAUUCUUUUAUAUCUAGGACCAACAAGUUAUAAAAUCUUGAUAUACUACCAAAUAAACUUCUUAAAUUUAAUACAUAACCCUUUAUCCUUAAGUAACGAAGAUGGACAAGUUGUGAGAAACUGUGCAGCAGAACCUCCACAUCAUACGAUGCACCAGAUAAGAAAAUGACACGAAGGGUUUUUGCAUCCCGAAACAUACCACUAAAUAUCUUGCAAAAGCUUCCAUGGUGAUCUCCAAAUAACAUCAAAGUACGUAGGUUUCUAGCUUUCAGUCUUUUACCAAGUAUAUCAAGGCCUUUCUUACAAUUUUCAAAGGUUGCUUUGUCCUCCACAUCUGAAUUAUUUAUGAUGAUGGACAUGUGAUGUAUAGAUGCAGGAAUUUGUAUUGACCCCACAUUAGCCCCUUGUAUGCUAAGACAUUCAUGUGCUGAAACAUUUCUUGCCAAGUCAUGGAGUAGGUCAUGUAUAACAUAAUAAGUGUGCCCAUCCUCUUUUUUUUCUUCCUGGAAGAAGCCAUAACUAACCAAGUCGCUUAAAUAAUCUAGUCCAAUAUCUUCAAGUCUCUUGUUUUGAUCGUCGGGGCCUAACAGCCCUAGUCCUAUCCACAAGUGGAUUAACUCUUCCCUUCCAAAUUCAUAAUCUUCAGGGAACAAGGCACAGUGGGCAAAACAUUGUUGUAGAUGAAAAGGAAGAUAGUUAUAGCUAAGCUUUAAUGCUGGCAUGAUAUCAUCCUCAUUGGCCUGAUAUUCCCAUUCUUUACUCUCAAGUACCCUUCUCCAAUGGUCUGUGUUAAGUUCAGUUUUCAGUAAUCUACCGACAGUUUUAACUGCAAGAGGGAAACCUUUCAAUCUCUUCACUAUUUCGCACCCAAAAUCAUGCAAAUUAGGGUUCCCUUCCCAUGUUUGCUGGUCAUCAAACACACAUGCUUGGAAGAAACACAUGCAUUCUUCAUCACUUAACCGUUCUAAUCUUAUUUGACAGCCUACUGUUGCAACCAUUUGUGCCACCUUCGGUAUCCUUGUUGUGACUAUUGCCAUGUUACCUUUUGUUUGCAUUUUCUUAAAUGGGGCUAGCAGUUUUUUCCAUUCAUUUUCGUGAUCUGUCCACAUGUCAUCCAAAACAAGCAAGAACCGUUUGGACUGCAAUCUUUUUUCAAUCAGACCUUCAGCACUUUCAUUUCCAUUUUCAUUGUCAAGUUUAGGGAUUUGUUUUAUGAUUUCUUGUGCCAACUUACUUGCACUGAAAUUCUGAGAGACACAUACCCAUACCAGGACUUGGAAGUGGCUCUUUGCUUCUUCAUAUAUAUGUUGUGUGAGUGUUGUCUUCCCAAGACCCCCUGGACCAACUAUCGAAAGAACAGUGAGAUCAUCAUUGACAUGAUAUUUAGAGGUUAUUCCAUCUAUGACAUCCUUUUUCAAAUCAUCCCUCCCAUAUAACUUUGGCUCUAUAAUCUGUGGGGUGGUGGUUCUGGUGGUUUGGUUGAAAGCAGUGCCUUGUUGGGCUGAGAUGCCAGUGGAGGCUAUAGUUCCCUGCAGCUCCAGAUCUAGAAUUGUAGAGACCAUAGCACACACUGGCUUAAGCUGCUCAACUAUGUCCACCAUCCGUUUGGACAUGGCCACCCGAUCAAACUUGAGUUUUGGCUUUCUACGAUGGUGACACACCACAGAAGCACAGGAGCAUGAGGGGAGCUUCAGCUUACUGACGACGGCCCCAGCCGUGUGUCGUGCGUUGAGGACAAGGCCCCCGACGAGACCUCGGGCAUCGGCGUCAAUGGUCUCAUAGGUCCCAUGGAGCUCAUCUUGGAUGCGGAAGUACUCCAGCUCGUCUAGAACGUCAUCAGCAUCGUACGCUUGGUUGCGGAGCUCCUGCAAGAGCUGCCCCAGUGCAGGGUUGCAGACAUCCCUGCCACGGGCGUUGUUCAGCAUCCCCUGGGCCUACAGGAGUUGCAGCUUGAGGGCGCGGAUGUUGGGGGCCAGCUUCGAAGAGGCUGCCCAAGACUCCAUGAGGCCAUCGGAGAUGGGUCUCAGUGCCCUGGACACCGCCCAGCGUGCUGCGCUGAUGGUGAUCUCCAUCCUCUCUUCAAAGGGUGUUGGAUGACGAAGAUUCUGUGAAUCAGAGCAUCGAUCAAGUUAUGAGCCUGUUCGGAACAGCCGGCAGCGGCUGCAGCUGCAGCUGCACUAGCACAAGAAGCUGAUGCUGAAGCUGGAUCUUUCGAAAAACAAGCUGAAGCUGAAGCCAAUGUACUAGGAUUAGCUCUCUGUUUGUUCUGCAAGAGGUGAAGUAUGUGCAGAUCACAAGGCUAGCCAGCUGCUUACCUAGGCUACGCAGAUGACUGGAGGUGCCCUGCGUGGUCGGCACCGGGUUGGAGUUGGAGCCUUGGAGUGGAGGCUGACAAAGACUCUGCAGCUGCACCACCGAGUUGGAGCGCGCAGACGUCAAGUGGUGAGUGUACAGAGGAACUCAACUCUGUUUCUGUGGGAGGAAUGCGAGAGACAACAACUCUGUCAGAUGGGAGCUGUGAGCCUAUGAAUGCAAGCGCGUGUGUGGUUUUCCCAGGGAACGUGAGAUGAUUGAUUGCAUGUGAGGCUAGAUAUUUCUAAACUCCUUUUUUUUACAGCACUCGAGUGUGAAACAGAGCAUGGAUUCUAGCUUACCUACGCAGAACACGGAGUUGGAGUGGAUGCAGCUGCACCAAGGAGUUUCAGCGGCCAAGAUGCGAAGUGCAGUGUUACUCUCGAAGAGGAAUGCAAGAGAGAACUCUGGGCAAGCAGCUUGUGCCAGGAGUUGGGCGGUUGUUGGAGAUGUGAAUAUAAGCGUGUGUGGGUGUUUCCUUUCCCUGUUUGUUCAAUUAUUGUCCUUAUGCUGCACUUGUUGCUUUCUCGGUUUCAAUGCAAAGGCACUUUUUCCUUGUCAAAAAGAAAAAUGCAAAGGCACUUUCUCGUGGUGCUCCAACGAGACAAAGCAAGGAUUCCUUCCCUGUUUGUUCAAUUAUUGUUGCAUUGAAAUUCUCUGUGUUCUGUAACCAAGCAGAAGCAGCAGGCGCAAGUGCGCAACGCACCCCACCACGCACUUGUGGAUGGAACCACGAUGGAGGAAGGCUCUGCCAGCCGGACGUCGCAGCAUCCAAUUCGCUCGUCCCAACCUAACCUCAUGUACGUUGGAUUGGAGUCACACGCGUCCAAUAGAAGGACCUCCAUUAUGCAUGCAAGUUGGGAUCUAAGACAUGUUGAGCCGAUUCCGCACUGUCUCUCAAAUCUGCAGUCUGAACUCUGAAGAGGCCAAGUGUCCAAGUUUGGUAGACAACAGAGCUUCAAAUUCAGUGUGUUUAAUUUUACAUAGAUUGACUCUUAAAAUUCAGGUUCAGUGUUCUUGAGAGUCAGCGUUGCUCAGCUGAUACUGUGAUGUGUCAUGUGACUCUACUUUGAAAAGCAGGGCCCUUUGCCUUAAAGACAAACUGGACCUAUUUUAUUGCUCUUAUGUUCAUUUAUUUUAUUUUAUAUUAUAGCGAGAUCCAUCUAGAAAGCAGUCACUGGAAAUGCUAGCAGAACAGGACCUUUGACACUUAUCACUAGCACUAUUUCAUUCAGUCUUGUAUCUCAUGUGCUUUUGCAUGCUAGCCAUUUGGCCUACAAUGUCAAAACGCAGCACUUGCAUAUUCUAUUAUUUCUUGCGACGCACUCUUGCAACUUCUCUUCAGCAUAAUAUAAGUUUGAAUCUCUAUCUCAAAUUUGGCAGGACAAUUCAGUCUAGAGAACACCCUAUGUUUCUCCUCAACUUAGACACUACCUGGCAGAAUUAGUUGACCACCUCGUCAGUUAGCAAUGGGUCAUCAUUUUGAAAGGGUCCAUGUCAAAGACUGCCUAACCAUGCAAAGAACACAGAGGAAAAAAAAAUCUUAUUCAGUGAUAUCAACUGCAUUACUUCCUACUCCAGCCUUGACAUUUAACAGCGAAGAGCACAAACUUGAGAGGUCAUAUAAGGCAGUAAUAGAUGUUCCAUAACUUACUUCGAUUGUGGCCGUGUCAACGUUUUCUUGUGAGAAUAGAAGAAAUCCAAGACUGGUGAAUACCUGAAAAAGCGUGCAGAUAAUUAUGAAAAGUCAUGAUAAUAAUUCAGUCAAAGACAAAACACGAAUGGAUUCAAUGCCAGUAGUAUUUGGGUCCACCACGAAAUUCCAUCAGUUGUUUGCAGUAACCAUUUGCAUGUGUAAUGAAAUAGUAAAAAAAUUAUCAUCCAAAGGGGAAAAAAAGGUAGGCCAAAGUUUCAAUAAGUAAACUACCUCAAAAUGUGUCAGGGAUCCAUUUUCUGAUUGCACUGAUUCAUCAAUAGCUCCUUAGAGCCUCAUCAGAAAGAUCACUCAGCAGUCCAACUGGGACAGGGCCUUCAUCAUUUCCAACAGAAAUCCAUUCACGUAUUAAUUGUUGGAAGACGAGGACUGAAUAGAAGACAGAAUUUCAGAGGUGUCAAAAACCAGCGAGACACAAUGGAACUGAACAAUUACAGACCAUCUAGAACAGAAGAUUACCCUUGAAUACCUUGACAUAGAUCUCAAAAUGAACAAUGACAGACAAUAUUCAAAACUAAUCUGUUAGAAAACAAGACCUAGCUCCCUACGAAUUGAAUACGAGAGUGCUAAGUCAGAUAAAGGUACUUUCUAUGGAUACAUCUUGGUACUUAAGACAUAUCACAUUUCUGUGGAUACAUCUUGGUACUUAAGACAAAUCACAUCUUGCUCCUGCAUACCUCUUUGAUGCACCACGAAGUUUCUGUCAUGAUAUUGGAGAGUUAAGCCAGAUUCCACACAACAAUUGCAAGCGAUUGACGAAGCCGAUGGAGAGUUAAGAUUACACCUGGAGUAACAGCCCACAUUGUAGCCUUGAACCCCAUGAUUCAUGAACCAUGAUACUGGACAGGAACAAAAGCAGUAGAACCUUCCCUACAAGCACAACUAUUCAGUUAAUCCCUGCAAUCACCGUACUAGCCGUCGAGACGAGGGAACGGGAGCCUCACCGGGCAGUGGGUGUGGGGAGUCACCGAGCCAGCAGAGGAGGCGGACCAUACCGGCCGAGGUCGAAUCCUUCGUCGGAGUCGGUGCCAGCGCCGCGCGGUACGUCCGAGCGCUCGUAGUUGCGCAGCCGCUCCGUGUACUCGAAGAAAUCCCCGGUCGGGCCCUCCGCUUCGCCUCCGUGCUCCGGCAAUAGCAGACAGGUCGCGGCGGGUGCUGCUCCCCAGCAGCAUACCAUUCGGGAGGCCGAGUGCGGCGGAGAAGCGACCUACUAUCCGUCGCGUCCGUGCUGCAGCGGCGGGAGGCGCCGGAGUCGCGGACGUGAUGCUCUGAUGGAGAUGCAGCGAAUUGCAGAUUACAGACGAACGGGCCUCCAGGUGGUGCGGAAGUGGGGAGGACGCCGGAGCCGGGGAGACUGCACUCUUCCGGGGAGGCGAUUAACAAUAUCUACUCCAAUCGAUGGCUGAAUGUCAGCAACGCAUUUGCGACAUGGGAUGGAAGAGCUUGACUGACUAAACUCUCCGGGGAGGCGUUGAAACUGGAUUGAUUUCAUGAUUGAUGGACUUUUGUGUGAAUUAAUAUGUUGCAGGUGACACGAGACAAAUUGGUGAUGCCUUAUCAUCACUCACGAACCUGUAUCUUGCAAAUCUAUGGAAAACUUCAAGGGUUUUGCCUGGCAUACUGAACUCUGUGAUAUACUGAUGCCAAGCCUUCCAAAUCCAAAAUUACUCCAAAACUUCAGGCUUCAGUUUUGUGAAGUACAUUCCGCCGGGGCCUGCCUGCAACACAUUAGUAACAGUGCUCUUUUUUGUUUGAACCUAACUUCCUGUAGAGAAUGGGGGAGGACAAUUAUACAAGCAAGCAGGUAUAAGAAAACAAUACAAACUUUGACACGAUGCUUUUACGUGGAAAAAACUCCUCAAAAUGAGGAGUAAAAAACCACGGGACCAUCACGGUCCACUGCCAAAUUUUCCAUUAUGAGGAUGAUGAUGAAUACAAGUAGUCGUUACAAUAUCAAAAGACAAAACUCUUGCACGACCAAACAUGACCACAAAAGUAAUCAAGAGUUAACCACUUCACCAAGAAAAGGCCACACUGCUGAAUUUGACAACCUGAAGCAGCCAAUCCAUUUUGCACGCUGCUGAAAAGAAAAAAAAUUGCGCUGAUCAGUUGGAAAGUUUGGAAAACAGAUGGGAACCUAUCAAGUUCAGAUGUAGUAGUAGGUGAGGUUCACGAUGUAACUCACCAAUGGUACAUCAUUUGAAAUCUUGGUGCUGAUGUAACAGCAUCGAUCUGGCUUUCUAUUAUCCCAACCUAUGCAUUUUGUAAAGCUCUUGAUACCAGGAGCACAAGAGAUGUGCCCGGUCACCAAUAACUUGCUCAAUGCCUGCUGAAAAUGGUCCACCAAUCACAACCUGACAAAAAAAUGUUUGAUGUCCAGGUUACAUGCAUGUUGUCUAGGACCGAACCCAAGGUGGGAUUUUUUUUUAAAAAAAAUAUCAAUUGUAUUAUCCUCAUUUGAAUCAUGUAUGUUACGAAAUUCAUAUAUGAGUAGAGGUCAGAUUUAAGAACAAAAUUGCAGCACAGAUUCUAAUGAUUGGAGAGGACUGAAGAUAGCUAAAUUAGAGGAAACUGGAAGAGGGAGAGUUCCUAAUACUGCUGCAGUGUUGCUCCUUGCAUGCAAUGCAAUGUGACAGGGUAAAGGUUCCAUUGAUCAGAUAAUAACAAAGUAAAAUGGCCACCAAAAAAAAUUAAGCUACUUCACAUUCAGCAACUAACAUGGGUGAUCCUUUGGUGGAACCUUUUGGUAAAACAUAGUGCCAAAAAAAAAGAAGUGUUUGUUACCUUGGAUUAGUCUCGGAACUUAACUAUGGGUAUUGUUCCUUGCAGCUUCCGGCACUGCUUCUGUAGCUUCUCGUGGCUAUCCGUGACAUCUAGCAUUUGAAGUGAAUUCGGGAGGCUGCCCUCAUGCAGCGACCUGAUAGCAGGACAGCGGUGGAUCACUAAUAUCUUCAGUGAACUUGGAAGGCUUCCCUUUGGUAGCGACCGGAAGCCAUCGCAACGAACUAUGUGUAGUUUUGUCAGCGAACUUGGGAGGGUGCCCUUGGGCAGUGACCGGAUGGCAUCACAGCCCCGUAUUUCUAAUUCCACCAGGGAACUUGGGAGGGUGCCCUUGGGCAGCGACCGGAUGGCCUUACAGAACGAGAUAUGUAAUUCCACCAGUGAACUUGGAAGGCCGCCCUUGGGUAGCGACCGGAAGGAGCCACAGAACCCGAUCUCUAAUAUCUUGAGGUUGGGAAGCCCACCUAACCCUUCUGGCAGGGACUGCAGCCUAGAGUACCCCAAAAUUCGAAGAACCUGGAGAGAGGUGAGCAUCUGCAGGGCCUCCGAUUGCUCCAUUGUGAAGUGCUCCAAGUCGUCAUUCCCACCAAGCUCUAGCUCGGUGAGAGAGGAAGAGAAGUGGCCACCGACGGGCACAGCAACGGCGCCCCCUGCUUCCCCAGCCGUUUCGAGCGCUUGCAGCCUGGAGCUAUGUUGGGGAAGAACUUGUUCGCACAUCCGCGAAGGCUCAGGGACAUCAAGUAAGUUGUGCGCUCCCCAGAUUUGUAAUUCCUUGAGACGACCCUGGGCGAGGAGAUGCCAUAGGUCCUCAGAUCUUAGACCCCCACAAUCAUGUAGGACCAAUUCGGUCAGAUUUGUGAGAGGAGCCAGCGUCAGCAUGCCAUCCUUCACACCCUCAAGCACGAGGGACUGCAGGGAGGUCGAGAAAGGGCAGUAAAAGGAGGGGAGCAAACUGGAGGAUAGAAGCGUGGGGCAAUCCCAUAUAAACAGUGAUCUCAGAGAGCUCUGAUUUUGGAGCAACUCCUUCAAUUGGAGGGGCAUGGGCAGCUGUCCUCCUGCUGCAGCUUCUAUUUCCUCUGCUUCUCCUGCCUGCUUGUUACCACACCUCUGUAGGUCCAACGUUGAGAGGUUAGGGAAAUAAGAGAUUAGCUGUAACAAUUCCUUCACAGUGGCACCACAAUCUGAUAUCUGGAGCUGUUCAACUGGGAACUCGAAUGGGGAAUCAUUCUCACCUUCAGUUGGCCACAGGACACUAGUACAGUGACUUAUAUGCAGGGUCUUCAGAGAAUUUAGCAGUUGUAGGUGAUGUAGAGGCACAAGUGGGCAUUCACUGAUCUUGAACUCCUUUAUUUCACUCAGAUUAGUAAAGGCCAAUACAUUCCAGAGUUCACGAUCAAGAGCAUCCUUUUUGAACUGUACACUCAUUUUCUGUUCCUUUCUGCUGUAAUCUAAGUUCUCAAUACUCUUACCUACUUUCCACAGUCUAGCUUCGGACAGAGAACUACUCCAAGGAAUUGGUGGCACUGACACUAGUUCCUUACACUCUGAAAUGUAUAUCUCCUGUAGGUUGGGAAACAUGUGCGGAGAUGGCAACUCUGUAAGUUCAAAACAAUCCUCAAUAGUGAGUACCUCUAGCUUAGAGAAAGGGCUAUCUACACUCCAUUUUUUCAGAGUUGCUAUGUAGACAAGUUCUAGCCUCUUCAGAUUCUGAAAGGUUUGCCCUGCGACGCUUGGCUGCUCUUCGCCGACCAUCAACAACUCUCCUAGCAGAGGUGGAAGACUUUUCCAGGCUACACCUUCAAGGCAAAGGCAUUCCAAAUUCUUAACAGAGUGGUCUGAACAUAGCCAGGUAGGGUAUGUGUGACCUCCAUGUCCUCUAAUGCACACUUCUUGAAGAUUAUUGUGUGGCUUAAGGCAUUCAAGAACAUCUUGUUUCUUUUUUGGAUCCCUAUCAGACUGGUAUCUAUCCCAACCUAAUAUUAAUCGAUUUAAGUGUUGCAAGUGGACUAAUUUUAAUUCUUCCAGCUCUGUUGCACCACCAACCUUUUCAAGAUUACAAAUCUCCAAUGACCCAUGGAGCUGUAUCAAUUUCCCCAAUUGGUUCAAUUCAAAACCUUGUUUUUCUCUUUUGACCUCAAAUCUCCUUAUCUCUUGUAUAGAUUUAAGUUUCCCAACCUCAACAAUUCCACAAUGAUAUGAUUGAUUUCCCACAAGAAAAUGACGAAUUUUCACUAGGUUGCUCAUAUCUCUUGUAGAAGAGCACAUCUCUUCUGUGUCUAUACGAGGAAAAGCGCCGCAUUCUUUUAUAUCUAGGACCAACAAGUUAUAAAAUCUUGAUAUACUACCAAAUAAACUUCUUAAAUUUAAUACAUAACCCUUUAUCCUUAAGUAACGAAGAUGGACAAGUUGUGAGAAACUGUGCAGCAGAACCUCCACAUCAUACGAUGCACCAGAUAAGAAAAUGACACGAAGGGUUUUUGCAUCCCGAAACAUACCACUAAAUAUCUUGCAAAAACUUCCAUGGUGAUCUCCAAAUAACAUCAAAGUACGUAGGUUUCUAGCUUUCAGUCUUUUACCAAGUAUAUCAAGCCCUUUCUUACAAUUUUCAAAGGUUGCUUUUUCCUCCACAUCUGAAUUAUUUAUGAUGAUGGACAUGUGAUGUAUAGAUGUAGGAAUUUGUAUUGACCCCACAUUAGCCCCUUGUAUGCUAAGACAUUCAUGUGCUGAAACAUUUCUUGCCAAGUCAUGGAGUAGGUCAUGUAUAACAUAAUAAGCGUGCCUAUCCUCUUUUUUUUCUUCCUGGAAGAAGCCAUAACUAACCAAGUCGCUUACAUAAUCUAGUCCAAUAUCCUCAACUCUCUUGUUUUGAUCGUCGGGGCCUAACAGCCCUUGUCCUAUCCACAAGUGGAUUAACUCUUCCCUUCCGAAUUCAUAAUCUUCAGGGAACAAGGCACAAUGGGAAAAACAUUGUUGUAGAUGAAAGUGAAGAUAGUUAUAGCUAAGCUUUAAUGCUGGCAUAAUAUCAUCCUCAUUGGCCUGAUAUUCCCAUUCUUUACUCUCAAGUACUCUUCUCCAAUGUUUUGGGGUAAGUUCAGUUUUCAGUAAUCUACCGACAGUUUUUACUGCAAGAGGGAAACCUUUCAAUCUCUUCACUAUUUUGUACCCGAAAUCAUGCAAAUUAGCAUGCCCUUCCCAUGUUUGUCGGUUACCAAACACACAUUCUUGGAAGAAACACAUGCAUUCUUCAUCACUUAACCGUUCUAAUCUUAUUUGACAGCCUACUGUUGCAACCAUUUGUGCCACCUUCGGAAUCCUUGUUGUGACUAUUGCCAUGUUACCUUUUGUUUGCAUUUUCUUAAAUGGGGCUAGCAGUUUUUUCCAUUCAUUUUCGUGAUCUGUCCACAUGUCAUCCAAAACAAGCAAGAACCGUUUGGACUGCAAUCUUUUUUCAAUCAGACCUUCAGCACUUUCAUUUCCAUUUUCAUUGUCAAGUUUAGGGAUUUGUUUUACGAUUUCUUGUGCCAACUUACUUGCACUGAAAUUCUGAGAGACGCAUACCCAUACCAGGACUUGGAAGUGGCUCUUUGCUUCUUCAUAUAUAUGUUGUGUGAGUGUUGUCUUCCCAAGACCCCCUGGACCAACUAUCGAAAGAACAGUGAGAUCAUCAUUGACAUGAUAUUUAGAGGUUAUUCCAUCUAUGACAUCCUUUUUCAAAUCAUCCCUCCCAUAUAACUUUGGCUCUAUAAUCUGUGGGGUGGUGGUUCUGGUGGUUUGGUUGAAAGCAGUGCCUUGUUGGGCUGAGAUGCCAGUGGAGGCUAUAGUUCCCUGCAGCUCCAGAUCUAGAAUUGUAGAGACCAUAGCACACACUGGCUUAAGCUGCUCAACUAUGUCCACCAUCCGUUUGGACAUGGCCACCCGAUCAAACUUGAGUUUUGGCUUUCUACGAUGGUGACACACCACAGAAGCACAGGAACAUGAGGGGAGCUUCAGCUUACUGACGACGGCCCCGGCCGUGUGGCGUGCGUUGAGGACAAGGCCCCCGACGAGACCUCGGACAUCGGCGUCAAUGGUCUCAUAGGUCCCGUCGAGCUCGUCUUGGAUGCGGAAGUACUCCAGCUCGUCUAGAACGUCAUCAGCAUCAAAUGCUUGGUUGCGGAGCUCCUGCAAGAGCUGCCCCAGUGCCGGGCUGCGGACAUCCCUGCCACGGGCGUUGUCUAGCAUCCCCUGGGCGUACAGGAGUUGUAGCUUGAGGGCGCGGAUGUUGGGGGCCAGCUUCGAAGAGGCUGCCCAAGACUCCAUGAGGCCAUCGGAGAUGGGUCUCAGUGCCCUGGACACCGCCCAGCGUGCUGCGCUGAUGGUGAUCUCCAUCCUCUCUUUCAAAGGAUGUUGGAUGACGAAGAUUCUGUGAAUCAAAGCAUCGAUCAAGUUAUGAGCCUGUUCGGAACAGCCGGCAGCGGCUGCAGCUGCAUCUGCACUAGCACAAGAAACGGUGCUGCGCGAGGCUUUGUUUGCAGCAACAGCUGCAGUGGCAAGAAGCUGAUGCUGAAGCUGGAUCUUUCGAAAAAGAAGCUGAAGCUGAACUAGCCAAUGUACUAGCAUUAGCUCGCUGUUUGUUCUGCAAGAGGUGAAGUAUGUGCAGAUCACAAAGCUAGCCAGCUGCUUACCUAGGCUACGCAGAUGGCUGGAGGUGCCCUGCGUAGUCGGCACCGGAUCGGAGACUGGAGCAGCUGCAACGAGAGUUGGAGCCUUGGAGGCCGCGGAUGUGAAGAGGUGACAAAGACUCUGCAGCUGCGGCACCGAGUUGGAGCGCGCAGACGUCAAGUGGUGAGUGUGAGAGACAACAACUCUGGGAGGAUGAGGAAGGUUGGGUGGCCUGUGAAUGCAAGCGCGUGUGGUUUUCUCAGGGAAGGUGAGAUGAUUGAUUGCAUGUGAGGCUAGAUAUUUCUGAACUCUUUUUUUUUUUACAGCACUCGAGUGUGAAACAGAGCAUGGAUCCUACCUUACAGCUUCAAAAGAUGGAUUAGCUUUUACAAAAGAUGGAUUAGCUUUUACAAAAGAUGGAUUGCUAUGAACUACAGCAAUUCAAUCCUGAAUUUCAGCUUGUGUUUGCACAAGCUGAAUUCCCCCUUGAAGCAAAGAAAUCAACUGAGACAAAUGUUGUAAUUCCGUUCAGUUAUUUGAACUCAUAUUAAAGCUUCUCCAGGACCUUAUUAACCUUGCUUGAAAUCAUGUCACAGUGUGAAAUCACCUGACUCAUGCAGUGAGGUCGGGUUCCAGCUGGUGCCACCGAAAUUGCAGGGCAGAAAUUAUUGUCCUUGCUUCCCUGUUUACUCAAUUAUUGUCCUUCACGUUGCUCUUGUUGCUUUCUCCUCUGUCUAUUCUUGCACAUGGAGCUCGUGGACCCAGCCAUGAAUUCAGCAUCUGUCUGGACGUCCCAGUGUCUUCAUGAAAAGACUUUAAACCUCAAGUGAACAGGACGUCCGACGACCAUUGACCUGGACCUGGACACGGAACCACAGCGAGCCGAUCCAAGAAGCCGCGGCCACAUCGAGCCGAGUAGAAGGAGCUCCUUUAACCAUGCAAUUCAAGAUGGGAUCGAAGAACCUUCAGCGAAUCAACUUGGACUGACUGACUGAACUGUGCAGUCUGAAGAGGCCAAUUGUCCAAAGUUUGGUAGCCAACAGGGCUUCACAUUCAGUGUGUUUAACAGAGCUUGACUCUGAAAAUUCAGGUUCAGGCCUUGUUUGGAUGUAGUCGGAUUCGCAUCAAUCCACAUAUAUUGGUGUGGGUUGGAGUGGAACUUGAACUAAAUUCCACCCCAAUCCACUCCAACACAUGUGGAUUGAGGUGAAUCCGACAACAUCCAAACAAGGCCUCAGUGUUCUUGACAGUCUGCGUUGGACAGCUGAUAUUUUGAUAUGUGAUUCUACUUUGAAAACCAGGGUCCUUUGCCUUCAAGACAAACUAGACCUAUUUUAUUGCUCCUAUGUUCAUUUGAUUUUAGAUUAUAGUGAGAUUGAGAUCCAUCCGGAAAGCAAUCGUUGAAAAUGCUAGCAGAGCAGAACUUUACUAGCACUAUUUCGUUCAGUCCUGUAUCUCAUGUGCUUUCGCAUGCUAGCCAUUUGGCCUACACUCUCAAAAUGCAGCAGUUGCCUGUUCUAUUCCUAGCGGCACACUCUUGCACACUUUGAUUCAGCAGAAUGUAAGUUUGACAAACUUAAUUUGGCAAGCCAAUUCAGUCUAGAGAACAACCUAUAUAUCGUCUCAACUUAGACAUUAUCUAGCAUAAUCAAUUGACAACCUCUUCAGUUAGCAAUUUGCCAUCAUUUUGAAAGGGUCCAUGUCGAGGACUGCCUAACCAUGCAAAUAACUCAUAAUAAAACUUUUUCUUGCUACAAUGACAUCAAUUGCGUUACUUCCUAUUCCAGCCUUAGACAUUUAACAGCGAAGAGCACAAAACUUGAGAGGUCAUAUAAAGGUGGUAAACUAGUAAUAGAUGUUGCAUAACUUACUUUGAUGAUGUCAGUGUCAACGUUUUCUUGUGACAAUAGAAGAAAUGCAGGAGCAGUAAAAACCUGCAAAAGCAUGGAGAUAAUUACGAAAAUCAUGAUAUUAAUUCGAUGAGAGACAAGACAUGAACAGAUUCAAUGCCAGUAGUAUUAGAACUGCAUUCACCGCACUAGCCGUCGAGUCAAGGGAACGGGAGCCUCACCGGGCAGUGGGUGUGGGGGGCCACCGUGCUGACAGACGAAGAGGCGCAUGCUGCCGACGUCGAAUCCGUCGUCGGAGUCGUUGCCGGCGCCGCCGCAAGACGCCGAGUGCUCAUAGUUUUUUUUUUUUUUUUUUUUUUGAACUUCGAGUGCUCAUAGUUGAGCAAGCGCUCCAUGUACUCGAAGAAAUCCCCGGGUGGACCCUCCGCCUCGCCUCCGGGCUGCGGCCAUAGCGGACAGGCCGCGGCGAGUGCUACUCCCUAGCAGCAUACUUCGUGGGCGGCGGCGGGGAAGCGACCUAACAUCCGUCGUGGCCGUCCUGCGGCGGCAGGAGGCGCCGGAGUCGUGGCCUCGAUGCUCAGAUGCAGCGAAUCAAGCAGGAAGGAAGGGAGGGCGCCGGAGUCGGGCGGCAGAGGACGUGUGCGAGGAGGGAGACAACGAUGGGAGCAGAGGAAUCCCUGAAGAUGGAUUGAUGAUUUAUCUGCUCCACUCUCCAAUGAAUGCUGAACGUCAGCAAUGCCUUUGCCAUAUGGGAUGGAAGACAUCUUCAACAAAUUCAGCUUGACUGACUGAACUCUGCAUCUUCUUCAGCAAGUGUCGAAGUUGGUAGACAGACACAGCAGGGAUUCACAUUCAGAGUGUUCUCAUGAACAUUAUCCAAAUUGAUAACAAAAGUUUCAGAUAGAAUAAAUUCAACCUUUACAUUCAUGAUUGCACUUGACUGGAGAAUGUGCCGCAACCUGCUUGGCACACACACGUAUACAACAUCAUCUUUUGACCAAUAAACUGCUUCAAGCGAAAUAAUAACAGUGAAAUAUUUGAAAUCGAAACGUUUUGUUUUUAACAUCUUCGUUGUCUAAGUCUGAGAGACCCCAAAUUGCUCGAUGGUAUGCUUGAGUAAAUUCAGUCCAUUUCCAUCCCAUCUGUGGCUGUCUGCAACAUGUUAGUACUUAAUAUGUUGCAAAUCUAUGGCUGUCUGCAACGUUUUAUUUCAAUGACAGUUCAGCCUACUGAAACUCAAAUUGCCUACUGCAACGUUUUAUGGCGGCGAGGGCUGACAUGAGACAAAUUGGUGACGGCUUCUCAUCACUCACGGACCAGUAUCUUGCAAAUCUAUGGAAAUCUUCAGGGGUUGUCUAGCAUACUGAACUCUCUGGUCUAUUGAUGCCAAUCCUGCUAGACCCCAAAUUACUCAAAAUCUUCAAGCUUCAGUUAUGUGAAGUACAUUGCAUUAGUGGCACUGCUCUUUUUUGUUUGAGCUCCACUUCCUGUGGAGAAUGCAGGACAAUUAUAAGAGCAAAUAGGUUUAAGAAACACAACACAAUGUGCACGCUUUGGCACAAUGCUUUUACGUGGAAAAAAAACUACUCAGAAUGAGGAGUAAAAAACCACGAGACCAUCACAGCACACUGCAAAAUUUUCCAUUAUGAGGAUGAUGGGUACAAGUAGUCUUUACAAUAUCCAGAGAUAAUACCAGAAGCUGAAAACCAUCAUUAUAAUACCCUUGUAUGACCAAACAUAACCACAAAAGUAAUCAAGAGCAAACAGGAGUUGACCACUUCACCAAGAAAGGUCAUGCUGUUGAAUCUGACAACCAGAAGCAGCCAAUCCAUUUUGGGCACUGCAGAAAAUGGCAACCCAAACUAACAGAAUCUCUCUCAAACUUGAUGUUCCCGCACAGCACUAACACACUAGUUUUCCUGCAGCUCACUCGAAUUAGGUUUCAUUUCUUUCCCAACAAACAAAUUAAAGUAUUGCUCCCAGUAACCUCGUAGAUGUUAUACAUGGAUGUGGCUUCAAAAGAAAGAGGUUACACUUGUUAUCCCUGCAGAAGAGGGCACGCCAGCGAUCCACUGGAUCACUGUAUCAAAAACUUGUGCAAAAUAAAAAUUAAUUAAUUCCAGGAGUUAACUACCUUCACACAAAUGGAAAAGGUUGUUUCUAUAUUUUCUUUGAUAUUCAUACCCACUGGAACCAAAGUGUUAAGCCCCACUUAUAGCACACUUUCAUCUUGAUUUUGAUGGCCUUGCUUCAUCAGGUUUGAGUUUUGUAUUUCACGGACUUGCAGCAAUAACUUCUUGUUCCUCUUCUGUAGCGACUAAUCUCAGUGCUGCAGAAAAAACAAAUAUCAAAAACAAGGUCUGCUAUUUUUUCAGCCUAAACUUUUCAACACCCAUCAUGUGUCUAAUAUAGAUGUAAAAUAGAUGAAGAAAUUCCUAGAUGUGUAUUGGCCAUUGUUGGGCUGUCCCAGGCCAUGUGCCAGGUGGGCGACAGCAUAGGACCGGCAGAAACAUGGAGGCUGAAAAUUUAACCUCUUUACUACUUAGUAUUAUUAGUUAUUAGCAAACCUGAUCAUGCCUCCAGUUAAUGUUUUCUUUUUCUUAUUAUGCGACAACAUUCCAGAAAAAAACACUGUGGUUUCCUUCAUUCCUCUCAAUCCCUUUCCAUAUCUGUCCUGUUGCAGACCAAUAGUUUCCCAUUUUUUAUGAGACAAAAAUAACAGAUCUACUCCAAAUUCUCCUCCCUCUCUUAUUAAUUUGUGAUGUCAUUAGUUUGAUACUUUGAAGUCGUAGUAGUUUAUUGACUAAAUUACCCUAAUGUGGAAAGUUCGGGGCCUAAAUUAGAGUUUGGCACAUGCCCCCAAACUUUCAGUCAUGACCUGCAUGUGUAGCUAGUGUCAGAUUGUCUGUAACCAAAAUAAAAGGUAUUGGUAAGCAUAACAAAGUUCAUGUCUAUCUUAUCCUAUAAAUUUGCUGAACACAUAUAGUAUCGUACUAUCCAUAUUUUCACGUCGGUUACUGAAAAUUUACAUGUUCCCAACAUUGUCAAAUCAUAAACCAAGCAAUGUUGUACCAGAGUGCAGAGGGUCAUAGCAAAAUUGUACCUGGAGUGCAGAAGCUCGUGUAGGGAACAACACAGGGAACACGACCAAGCAAGCCAUCUUCAUCACAUUCCCCCUUGUAUACCUUCCGCACCCGACCAGACUUUAGAUCAAAACUGAAUAGCACACCAUUAUUCAUUCCCACGAAAAAGACAUCAACACCAUGCGCAAAGCCAAGGAAGCCAUAUGAUGGAGCCGGCAUCGACUGGAAGCAACUUCUGAAGCUCAAUGACUCUAGUCCGUGUCCAUCCCACGCCUCCGUUUGGAUUCACCUCCAUUGACCAGAGCAAGAGUCUGGCGGCCAUAUCCACUCUUGCAAAUCCCAGCCCACCACCCUCCAUCUCCAUGAGCGCAAUAGCACAAUUGGAGGCUGGAGGUAAGUGAACCACAGAUGUCUCCGAUGUGGCCAAAUCAAAACCAAGGACCCUACUGCCAUUAUCAAUCGAGAAGUAGAGUGUGUUCCCCACAAGGGCAGUAGGCACUAGAUCGACGCUGCACUUGGGGACCAGAGUCGGCUCGCUCCAGCAGGCUGCCGCCGAUGAGUAGACGCGCAAGGACCAGCGCUGGACCUGGCUGUAGCUGUAGUACUUGGUGACAAAGCGAACGACGACGAAGGCUGUACCGUCGGCCGUGGGCUCGCGGAGCACAGUCGCGUACCACUCGUCCCGUUCGCAGUCGUCCAGGACUGGUAUCUCCCACCGCUCGCCCGUUGUCGGGUCCCAGAUGACGAGGGCGUCGACCUCGUCGUCACCCAGGACGAAGUGGAGGACGACGAGGCCGUGGCGGGCGUCGAGGACGACGCAGUCGCGGACCUCCUCCUCGCAGCCGGUGUGUCUCGGGCGGAAAGAGGAGGUGGGGACGAACCAGGCGAACAAGGGGUUGCACAGGAAGCCGAGCAGUGGUGCUGUGCGGUGGAACUCCAUGAACCGGCGGCGGAAGCUGCGGGCACAGACGAUGCGGCACCAGGGCUUGCAGACGAGCGCGGCGCGGACGAGGCUCGCGGGAUCGGCCGGUGGGAGGCGGAGGAGUAUCUCUUCGACGACGUCGGCCGGCAGCUCCAUACUGCUACAGAUCCGGGGAGAGCAGCGGCGCAAGCGCGAGGCUGAGGCGGAGGCGUGGGUGCCUGCUGCAACAGCGGAGUUUUUUAUUUUAUUUUAUUUUUUUAAGCUGCGUCAGCGGAGAUGGGCUGCGACGGGCCGUUCAGCUUCUCGAGUGGAAAGGCCUUCGAUUUUUCUGUUCCAUUUUUUGCUGCACAGCCCACGGGAAUUCUAAUGAAAUCUUCAGGGGUUGCGUUGCGUGGCAUACUGAACCCUGUUGUCUGUUGAUGCCAACCCUAUUAGACAAAUUGCUCCAAAUGUUUCUACUGCAUUCUAUCCAGGCCUGCCCGCAACGCAUGAGUGAUGGUAACUUCUUGUCAUCAUUCACGUUUCCUGUGUGUGAUGCUAUGGCUGAUCAAGGCACAAAAGCUGGCAAUGAGGUUUAGCAUCUUUGAGGGUUAUACUAAUCUUUAAAAGAGACUGGUCCAUGUCACCAUGGAGAAGUUAUCAAUGUCGUUGAGGGUUCAUAGUAAUCUGUAAAGGAUGAUGGAGUUUAGAGUAGACUAGUGAAGGUCCAAGUGCUCGUUUUGUUUGAGCCCCACUUCCUGUACCUGUAGCAAAUGGGGCAGGAAAAUUAUAAGAGCAAGGAGGUUUAAGAAAACAACACAAUGUCCACACUUUGAUAAUGCUUUUAUGUGGAAAAACUCCUCAAAAUGAGGAGUAAAAAACCACGGGACCAUCACGGUCCACUGCCAAACUUUCCAUUAUAUGAGGAUGAUGAAUACCAUGUACUCUUUACAAUAUCUAGAGAUAAUACCAGAUCUGAAAACCAUCAUAAUAAAACCCUUGCACGACCAAACAUAACCACGAAUGUAACCUUGAGCUAACAGGAGUUAACCACUUCACCAACAUAAGGUCAUGCCGUUGAAUCCUGAAGCAGUCAAUCCAUUUUGCACGCUGCUGAACAAUGGCAACGCAAACUAAAAAAGUCUCUCUCAAACGUGAUGUUCUUCUAGCACAGUACACAAAUUUUUCCACAGCUGCGGCUCAAGUAAAACAUGUUUUACUGAACUUCUUUUCAAGUCUAUCUUUGGAGCAACGUGGCAUCUAAACUUGUCCGUGCAAAGGUGUUUUUCUCCCUUUUGAACCCCAGUAUCUUGAACAUGACUUAAGACCAUGCCAGUUUCUAGGCUCAUUGAUGCUGCUGCAACUGCAAUGGAACUAUGAAAUGACUGCACCUCUACCAGUUGCAGCAUCGCUACUCACUUGGUACAAAGAACAUCCAUAGUUCAGAACAAUCCCUUUCCUAAAACAGAAGACAAAUUGAAUAACUGAAGUCACUUAUUUGCAUAAUGUCACGGACAUAAUAUUAAUCUCUAUGUAUCCUAAUGUCACCACAUUGACAGAGAAGCAAAUACUAUUCAUUUUCAAAAAUUGUAAAAUAUCUAUAUUUUCAUUAUCUUCAAAUUCAGUUAUGAGUGUUCAUUUUAUAUUAUCAGAAAAAUCAGUAUGUUUCAUAGAGGCUUCCAACAUUAAGACCUAUUUGUAUAAUUAUGUACUGUAAUAUUGUAUGGGCAUGGCUAUUUAAAAGGUCAAAAAGGGGACACAGCAGCCAGAUAGAUCUAAAUAAUGAAACAAGCUACAACGUCAUAUCAGUAUGGCUCGGUGACUGACUGACGCUCCUAACAUAACCAGAGAGAGAGAGAGAGAGAGAGAGAGAGAGAGAGAGAGAGAGAGAGAGAGUUUCAAAUGUUCAGCCUUCUAAUAUUUUAGCCCCAUUCAUUAGCAAGCUUCAAGUAAGAAAACAAAUUUUACAUGCUAUUAACACUAGAGAAAUGUCACUACGCAUCUCCUUGCUCUCCUAUUCCUGACACAAGGCCUUCCUUGCUGAGCGAUGGACCGGCCAAACUGGCCAACCUGUUAAUGCGCUCUGGGGUUUCAGCGCCGCUGAGAGAUGCCGCCGAUGGAUGUCCACACACUCGAUGCACCUGGCCGCGUGCCGCGGCUAUCCAUGAUUCUUUCAGGGACGAGGUUGCUGGCGUCGCGCAGGAGGUUCCUCUAGGGAUGCAAUGCGAUGCUCGCCUCCGUCAGUAGCACGGCAUCAGGCAGGCAUUCCACCUGCAGCAAGUUUCAGAGAAUAAUGUGGUAUCAAUUUCAGCAAUAGCUUCCACUUACGUGCCUGCCUGCCUGCCUGUCUGCCUGGAUUAAUUUCAAAUGCUCAGCAAGAGAUGACUAGUCCCACUACCUGAGUGAAGCUGCUAGCAAUCGCAAGAUGCUCCUUGUCAAUAUCCAUGCUGACAACAAGCGCUGGAAGCCUGUUAUGGUCUCACGGUUUCUUUCACUUCUAUACGUCUACGGCCUCUGCAGAUGCCCCCAUAUGUGCUGAGACAUAGUUCAAGCAUCAGCGACAACUGACGCUACUAAGAAGGCGAGGGAUGUCAAUAGCAGGUUAUAGCAGAGGUUAACCUCCAUCGACGAGUACAGUGGAUGCGCCCCGAUUGAGUACUGACGCUCCCUCUGCUGUCAGAAACUGGCUCCUCCGAGGAAGUUGAGUCUUCCUCACGCGGGUAGUUGCUCCAGCAAGCGGCGAUGCCAUGGCGAUGCUCGUUUCCGUCAGUAGCAUGACGUCAGGCGUUUAACCUGCAGCAAGUUUCAGAUAAAAUGUGGCAUCAACUUCUGCAUUAAUUUUCAAUCAUGCGCCGGCAAAACCAAGGGAUGGCUAGUCCCACUCAGUACCUGAGACAAGCUGCUCAGCAAACACAAAAGAUGCGCCUUGUGAUUAGCCAUUCCGACAACAAGCGCUAGAGGCCCUUCUGGUCAGUCUCACAGUUUGUAUCAAGUCUGAUAAUGCCUUUGCAGAUGACUUAGUGCUAGUUAGUAUGGGCUGGGACAUAGUUCAAGUAUCAGCGACUGACUGGUGCUACUGAAAGGGAAGGUCGGAAGGAUAUGUCAUGAGCAGGUUACAGCAGAGGUUAACCUCCACCGAUGGAUGAGUACAUACAGUGGAUGUGCCAUCCUCCUAGGAAGUUGGGUCUCCUCUAAGUCGGCUUGGAUCGAAACGGCAGAGAUAUCCCAUCGUUAACUUACCAAACCCAUGCAAUAGACAGGAAAAAACACAACAGUGAAUGCGUGUGAUAAACGAAAAACAGACAAAUGAAGGAUCAAAUGUUCAGCCUUAUAAUAUUUCAGCCUCAUUCAUGAUCAAUCUUAACUUUGGAGAAAUGUCACUUCGAUGACACUGAAUGGAUGGACUGUCAGCAAAUUGGCUUGGAAAUAUGGUUACCUUGACUAGUACGGAGACAAAGACCUGCGCAAGCAGCUGUGACAGUGUUCCAGCGCUGAUGACCUCCCAGCAGCUGGAGGUAUACAUCAUCCAAUCCAACCGACUGAAAAGGGAAGUUUGCGCUGAUCAGUUAGAAGAUUUGAAAAAACAGAUGGGAGCCUAUCACAUUCAGACUAAGUAGGUUACGUCGCGAUGAAACUCACCAAUGGUACAUCAUUUAAAAUCUCGAUGCUGAUGUAACAGCAUUGAUAUAUGGCUUUCCAUUAUCCCAACUUAUGCAUUUUGUAAAGUUCUUCAUGCCAGGGUCACAAGCAGAUAUCACGGGAGAUUGCAUCGUCAAGAAUGCCCUGUAACGAAAAAUUUGCUCAAUCUCUGCUCAAAAUGGUCCACCAAUCACAGUCUGACCAAAAAAAAUGUUUGAUAUCCAGGUUACAUGUUGUCUAGAACCUAAACCAAGAUGGAAUAAAAAAAAAACCCUGAAACGUAGUAUCAUUGAUUUGGACCAUGUAUGCUAUGUCAAGCAAUUCAAAUAAGAGUGAAGAUUUAAGAACAAAGUUGCAGCACAAAUUCUAAUGAUUGGAAAGGAUUAAAGAAGCUAAAUCAGAGAAAACUGGAAGAGGGAUGGUUCCUAAUACUGUUACAGUGGUGCUCUUUGCAUGCAGUGCAAUGUAACAAGGUAAGGUGCCACUGAUCAGAUAAUAACAAAGUAAAAUGGCCACCAAAAAAAAUUGAGCUACUUCACAUUCAGCAACUAACAUGGGUUAUCCGUUGGUGGAACCUUUUGGAAAAAAAAUAGUGCAAAAAAAAGGAAGUGUUUGUUACCUUGGAUUAGCAGCGUCGGAACUUAACUAUGGGUAUUGUUCCUUGCAGCUUCCGGCACUGCUUCUGUAGCUUCUCGUUGCUAUAACUGACAUCUAGCAUUUGAAGUGAAUUCGGGAGGCUGCCCUCAUGUAGCGACCUGAUAGCAGGACAGAAGCGGAUCUGUAAUAUCUUCAGUGAACUUGGAAGGCUUCCCUUUGGUAGCGACCGGAAGGCACGGCAACGAAUUAUGUGUAGUUCUGUCAGCGAACUUGGGAGGGUGCCCUUGGGCAGUGACCGGAUGGCAUCACAGCUCCAGAUUUGUAAUUCCACCAGGGAACAUGGGAGGGUGCCCUUCGGCAGAGACUGUAUGGCCUUGCAGUUGCUGAUUUGUAAUACUACCAGUGAACUUGGAAGUCCGCCCUUGGGUAGGGACCGAAAGCAGUCACAGAACCGGAUCUCUAAUCUCUUGAGGUUGGGAAGCCCACUUAACCCCUCUGGAAGGGACUGCAGCCUCGAGUACCACCCAAUAUGAAGAACCUGGAGGGAGGUGAGCAUCAGCAGGGCCUCCGAUUGCUCCAUUGUGAAGUGAUCCAAGUCGUCAUUCUUACCAAGCCAUAGCUCGGAGAGAGAGGAAGAGAAGUGGCCACCGAUGGGCACAGCAACGGCGCCCCCUGCUUCCUCAUCCGUUUCGAGCGCCGGCAGCCUGGAGCUAUGUUGGGGAAGAACUUGUUCGCACAUCCGCGAAGGCUCUGGGACAUCAAGUAAGUUGUGCGCCCCAUAGAUUACUAAUUCCUUGAGACGACCCUGGGCGAGGAGAUGCCAUAGGUCCUCAGAUCUUAGACCCCCACAAUCAUAUAGGUCCAAUUCGGUCAGAUUUGUGAGAGGAGCCAGCGUCAGCAUGCCAUCCUUCACACCCUCAAGCACGAGGGACUGCAGGGAGGUCGGGAAAGGGCAGUAAAAGGAGGGGAGCAAACUGGAGGAUAGAAGCAUGGGGCAAUCAUCUAUAAACAGUGAUCUCAGAGAGCUCUGAUUUUGGAGCAACUCCUUCAAUUGGAGGGGCAUGGGCAGCUGUCCUCCUACUGCAGCUUCUAUUUCCUCUGCUCCGCCUGCCUGCUUGUUAUCACACCUCCGUAGUUGCAACAUUGAGAGGUUAGUGAAAUAAGAGAUUAGCUGUACCAAUUCCUUCAAAGUGGCACCACAAUCUGAUAUCUGGAGCUGUUCAACUGGGAACUCGAAUGGGGAAUCAUUCUCACCUUCAGUUGGCCACAGGACACUACUAAAGUCACUUAUCUGAAGGGUCUUCAGAGAAUUUAGCAGCUGCAGGUGAUGUAGAGGCACUUGUGAGCAUCCAAAAAUCCUGAACUCCUUUAUUUCACUCAGAUUAGUAAAGGCCAAUACAUUCCAGAGUUCACAAUCAAGAGCAUCCUUUUUGAACACUACAUGAACUUUCUGCUCAUUUUUCAUAUAAUCUAUUUCCUGAGUACUUGUGCCCACUUCACACAGUCUAGCUUUGGACAGAGAACUACUCCAGGGAAUUGGUGGCACUGACACUAGCUUCUCACAUCUUGAAAUAUAGAUCUGCUGUAGGAUGGGAAACAUGUGCGGAGAUGGCAGCUCUGUAAGUUCAACACAAUCCUUAAUUGUGAGUACCUCUAGCGUAGAGAAAGGAUCAUCUGCACUCCAUCUUUUCAGAGUUGCUAUGUUGACAAGUUCUAGCCUCUUCAGAUUCUGAAAGAUUUGGCCAGCGAUGCUUGGUUGGUCUUCACCAACCAUCAAGAACUCUCCUAGCAGAGGUGGAAGACUUUUCCACGCUACACCUUCAAGGCAAAGGCAUUCCAAAUUCUUAACAGAGUGGUCUGUACAUAGCCAAGUAGGGUAUGUGUAACCUCCAUGUCCUCUAAUGCACACUUCUUGAAGAUUACUGUGUGGUUUAAGGCAUUCAAGAACAUCUUCUUCUUUUUUGGGGUCCUUGUUAGGUUGGUUUCCAUCCCAAUGUAACAGUAAUCGAUUUAAGUGGUGCAUGUAGACUAACUUGGUUUUUUCCACUUCUGCUGUUGCUUCAACCUUUUCAAGAUUAUGAAUCUCCAGUGACCCUUGGAGCUGUAACAAUUGCCUUAAUUGAUUCAGUUCAAACCCAUGUUUUUCUCUUUUGACCUCAAACCUCCUUAGCUCUUGUAUAGAUUUUAGUUUCCCAACCUCAGAAAUUUCAGAAUGACAAGAAUCAUAUGGCACAAGAAAAUGACGAAUUUUCACUAGGUUACUCAAUUCUCUUGUAGAACUAAAAUUAUUGCAUUGUUUUACAUCUAGGACCAACAAGUUAUAAAAUCUAGAUAUACUGCCAACUAGACUUGUUUCAUUUAAUACAUAACCCUUGAUCCUUAAGUAACGAAGAUGGACAAGUUGUGAAAAACUAGGCAACAAAAGCUCCACAUCAUAAGAUGCUCCAGAUAAGAAAAUGACAUGAAGGGCUUUUGCUUCCCGAAACAUAUCACUAAGUAUUUGACAAAAGCUUCCAUGGUGAUCUCCAAAUAACAUCAAAGUAUGUAGGUUUCCAGCUUUCAAUUUUUUACCAAGUGUAUCAAGGUCGCUCUUACGAUUUUCAAAUGUUGUUCUGUCUUGGACAUCUGCAUCAUUUAUGAUGAUGGACAUGUGAUGUAUUGAUGUGGGAAUUUGUAUUGACCAGACAUCAGACCCUUUUAUGCUAAGACAUUCAUGUGCUGCAACAUAUCUUGCCAAGUCAUGGAGUAGGUCAUGGAUCACAUAAUUUGUGUGGCCAUCCUCUUUUUUUUCUUCUUGGAAGAAACCGUGACUAACCAAGUCACAUAAAUAACAUAGUCCAGUGUCUUCGAUUCUCUUGUUUUGAUCAUUGGGGCCCAACAACCCUAGUCCAAUCCACAAGUGGAUUAACUCUUCCCUUCCAAAUUCAUAAUCUUCAGGGAACAAGGCACAGUGAGAAAAACACUGUUGUAGAUGGAAAGGAAGAUAGUUAUAGCUGAGCUUUAAUGCUGGCAUAAUGUCAUCCUCAUUGGCCUGAUAUUCCCAUUCUUUACUCUCAAAUACUCUUCUCCAAUGGUCCACGGUAAGUUCAGAUUUUAGCAAUCUACCAACAGUUUUUACUGCAAGAGGAAAACCUUUCAAUUUCUUCACUAUUUCCCACCCAACGGCAUGCAAAUUAGUAUGCUCUUCCCAUGGUUGUUUUUCAUCAAAAACACAUGCUUUGAAGAAAUGCAUGCAUUCUUCGUCAUUUAAGCGUUCCAAUCUUAUUGGACAGCCUAUUGUUGUAACCAAUUGUGCCACCUUUGGGAUUCUUGUUGUGACUAUUACCAUAUUACCUUUUGUUUGUACUUUCUUAAAUGGGGCUAGUAUUUUUUUCCAAUCAUCUUCAUGAUAUGUCCACAUGUCAUCCAAGACAAGAAAAAACUGUUUGGACUGUAAUCUUUUUUCAAUUAACUCUUCAACACUCUCAUUCCCAUUUUCAUUGUCAAGUUUAGGAAUUUGUUUCACAAUUUCUUGUGCCAACCUAUUUGCAUUGAAAUUUUGAGAGACACAUACCCAUAACAUGACUUGGAAGUGGCACUUUACUUCUUGAUAAAUGUGUUGUGUGAGUGUUGUCUUUCCAAGACCCCCUGGACCAACUAUUGAAAGCACAGUGAGAUCACUGCCCCGAUAUUUAGAGGUUAUUCCAUCUAUGAUAUCCUUUUUCACUUUAUCCCUCCCAUAUAACUUUGGCUCUAUGAUUUGUGGGGUCGUUGUUCUGGUUGUUUGGUUCAAUGUAGCACCUUGAAGGCCUAUGGUGCCUUUGGAGGCUAUGGUUCCCAACAGCUCUAGAUCAAGAAUAGUGGAGACCUUUGCACAUAACGGCUUGAGAUCAUCUACAAGUUGCGCCAGCCGAUUGGACAUAGCCAUCCUAUUGAACUUGGGCUUUGGUUUUCUAUGAUGCUGGCACAAAAAAGGAGCACAGGAGCAUGAUGGGAGCUUCAGCUUACUGACGACGGCCCCAGCCGUGUGGCGAACAUUGAGGACGAGGCCCUGGACAAGACCCUGAGCAUCAGCAUCAUCAAUGGCCUCAUAGGUCCCUUGGAGCUCGUCCUGGACACGGAAGUACUCCAGCUCAUCCAGCGCAUCAUCCGCGUCAUACGCUUUCUGGCGGAGCUCCAGGAGCAGGUGCCCCAGUGCGGGGUUAUGGACGCCCCUGCCACGGGCAUUGUUCAGCAUCCCCUGCGCGUACAAGAGCUCCAGCUUGAGGGCACGGAUGUUCGGGCCUAGCUCCGAACAGGCCGCCCACGACUCCAAGAGGCCAUCGGAGACAGGCCCCAGCGCCUUGCCCACCGCCCAGCGUGCCGCACCAAUGGCGAUCUCCAUUGAUUAUCCUCGGCUCCUCACUUGAAAAGGUGUUCAGGCAAUGAUGGUGACGAUGCUAGCUGCAUACAGGGAGUCGCUCAUAUUGUUACUACUAGCUAUGGAUAUAUAUGAGUAGUGUCAUUGCCCUACUACCCUUUGUCCGAUCCACAAAAGCAAUGCAAGGUCAAAGAGAUGAAGCAACUUACAUACGCAGGGUCGGCGAGAGUUCGAAUGUCUGGCCGGAGCUGCACAGUGAAGGUAGUCGAUUGGAAAGAUUGGCAGAUUGACGGUGAGGAUGUUAGCUGCAGAGAAUCCAUCGUAUUGUUAGUUGUUACUAGUAGCUAUGGAUAAGAGUACUGUAUGACGGUGAGGAUGUUAGCAAUGCAAGGUCAAAAAGAUGAAAAUGCUUAUACACAUACGCAAGGUCAGCACAAGCGAGGGGGAGCGCCUGGCCAGAUCGAGCUGCACUAGACGUGGACGUAGAUAGACAACAACGCCAAGUAGUGCUGAAGAGUCAAAUAUGCAAGAGCGGGCGGAUUGCGAGGUCAGACGGAACUGAUGUGUGUGAAGGACGAGAGGAGACCUGGAAGAAAGAAAUAGAAGCCCGCAGGCUGGGGCUGGGAGGUGGCCCUAUGCCUAGGAUGAUUAAUAUUUAAUUGCCAUUAGUUUAGCAGAAAGCAGAGGCAACACUUGGCUUUAAGAUACUAUCGUGCAAGCUAAGUAAGGUACUAAUCCACACCAAAAGAGAAAGCAGAAGAAUAAAACAACCUUAGUGUUAGUUAAUUUCAGACUACCUUGCUUAUUGGCCCCUGGGGCAGUGGCAGAGCCAAGAAUAUACACUAAAUUGACAAUAUUCGUUCCCUUGUGCAAACAUAUGAGACCACGCAUGCUGCUUAAUUACUUUAUUACUGCUUUGCUGCAGAACAAGACGUGCUGUCCAGGGUAACACCACAGCAUCUCUCUUUAGUUAGCCUGGAAAUCUGUGUUGGUUGGGUAUGGCAUAAUAUUACUUCUCUGCAGGCGAAAGAAGGAGCGAUGGGACAGCAAAGCAUCGUGGUAAGACAAAGCUUUAGCAAGCUAAGAGAUUUUGCGACAAGCAUGGAUGCCAUGGAACUUGUAAAAAGGACACUCCGCUUAAGAUCUUGCGCACCUAAAUGACGGAUUGCAGGCACACAGAGUCAAAGCGUUUCAGAUAAUCACAUCUGCCAAGAAUACUUUAGACAGGACGGACUGGUGCCGGACUAAUGGCGCGCGUCAUUACCUUGGGAGUUGGGGGACCUCUGGUUCAUGUUCAUGUACCCCCAAAUUGUAACCGGUUUUUUGAAGUACACAAAGCCCUACUGUAUUGUCUGCACUUAAAACUCAAUGGACGGGGCGCCGGGCGAGGGAAGGUGAAAAGCACUCUAUGUCUCUAUAUGGUAGACGUAGAUAAGACCUAAUUAAGUGCCGCUAGUUUAGCACAGGAAGCCAGAGACAAAAGUUGGUUGAAGAUAUUGGUUGUGCCAAGUUAAGUAUGGUUGUGCUACUAAUUAAUCCCCACCCGAAAAAAAAUCAAUAAUGGCACGAGCAGCUAGCAAGAAUGAGAGUAUGAAACAAUGCCCAGCCUUACUGAUUGUGAUUUAUACCUUGCUUGGCCCCGAGCAGCCGGCGCCGGUGCAGGAGCUUGCAAGGGAGGCGCAGCAGCAACGCCAUUUGGGGGAUUGGUUUUGCGGUUUUGCCCCCGCGCCUGCCACCCUGCCGGCUGCCCCACGCCCCGCCGACCGGCCGAGCCGCCGGUGGCGUGCCCGUGACUGGCCCCAUCCCGACUCGCCUACGCCUGCUACCCGUGGCGUGCCUCUUGCCGUCGUCACGGACCCGCCGCCGCUUCCCCGGCGGCCAUGGCUCAUUGGCGGCUAGCUCAUUGGGAAUUGGGGAACUACGAGUGAGCCGAGCCGUGAAAAGGCCUGCUCGGCUAGUCUGAUGCGUAGUGGGCAUGUUGGGCCGCCAUACAAUACAACCCAGAAAAGAAAGAAAAACGAGUCCUUUUCAUCACCAUUUAAAAAACUAUUCAUUCACAAAGUCCCAUUUUCCUCCCUUGUAUAUGAAUGAAAAUAUGAUUUUGAUCUCCUUCAACCUUUAAAAACGUUCUUGCGCCCUCUGAUUGCAAAAGUCCUUUAAAAUAAAACUGUGUUUCUUCCUCUGCGUUCCUUCUGAAAAGGCACUGAUGUCUUUUUUAAAGAAACGUUGAAAAUCUUCAAGGUUUUCCUGAUCGACUAGUCUGAUGACGCCAAGCCUGCAUUACUCCAAAUCAUCAGGUUUCAGUUAAUUCAAGUCCAUUCCACCCGGGCUUGCCUGAAAGGCUGCAAUGCAUCAGUGACAGCAAAUUCUUAUUGUCAUUGACGUUUACAGCAUGUUUUUUUACCAAUAUAUGUUAGAGUUAUGGACUUGAGCAGAUCUUUUAAUUUGGAGAAAACUUAAAGCAAAUUUUGAUGCACAUAAUCACAUAGACUGGCCAUACACAUCCAUCAACUACAGAUUGAUGGAAUCAUGAAUCAUCUAUCCAUGUACCAUUUGGGAGGAUUGGCUGGAUUAGACCGUUUCCAUCCACCUCCAAACUUUCCACUGUAUAAGGAUGAUGGAUACAAGUUAUCUUUACAAUCUCUAGAGAUUACACAAGAAGCUGAAAAGCAUCAUUGUAAAACCAAGAGCUAACAGGAGGUAACUAUUUCACCGAAACAAUGUCACACUGCUAAAUCUGGCAGCCUGAAGUUGCUGAUCCAUUCCGCAUACCGCUGAAUAAUGGUAAACCCAAAAACAGAGAAAACUUCUCAAACAUCAUCUCCAUUCAGCUGCUACUGACACACCAGUCUUCUCCGUAGCUGCUACUGAAGCAAAAGAAUUUUUUUUAACUUUUUUGAGCUGCCUCUUUGGAGGAAGGAGGCAUGUAAACUCUUCUUUGGAAGUUAAGAAGACAUCCUGGAAAAAGAAUAAUGGAUUUUGUUUCUCACCCUGACCAUCCUAUAGCAGUUGAUCCAGCCUCAACCCCUCAACCAUUCAAAUCUUCACACACCAAAUCCAAAUACUGAACAUGUAUGUUUCAAGAUAAUGAAACAGAACAGCUAUCACAGAAAUGAACCGUGCUACUAAUUAAGUAACAAAUGGAAUACGUAAGGUUUGGUUAGCCUCACUAUCCAGCACAAAUCAAUAGCCAAGAAGAAAUCUCUACAAUACAAUAACCAGCUAGAAAUAUUCAGUUUAACUUUCAGAGUGCAAUGUAUGCAAUUAACAAGCUUACACCUCGGCGAACAUAAUGUGUUGACUGUUGACUUCUCACAAAAGACAAUCUACUUUCCACAGAAUUUCAACAUGCUCAAUUGCUCAUUGGUGACCAGUGCUCACUCGAAUUAGGUUUCAUUUCUUUCCCAACAAACAAAUUAAAGUAUUGCUCCCAGUAACCUCGUAGAUGUUAUACAUGGACGUGGCUUCAAAAGAAAGAGGUUACACUUGUUAUCCCUGCAGAAGAGGGCACGCCAGCGAUCCACUCGAUCACUGUAUCAAAAACUUGUGCAAAAUAAAAAGCAAUUAAUUCCAGGAGUUAACUACCUUCACACAAAUGGAAAAGGUAGUUUCGAUAUUUUCUUCGAUAUUCAUACCCACUGGAACCAAAGUGUUAAGCCCCACUUAUAGCACACUUUCAUCUUGAUUUUGAAGGCCUUGCUUCAUCAGGUUUGAGUUUUGUAUUUCAUGGACUUGCAGCAAUAGCUUCUGGUUCCUCUUCUGUAGCGACUAAUCUCAGUGCUGCAGAAAAAAACAAAUAUCAAAAACAAGGUCUGCUGAUUGCGGAAUUGAUAAUCCAUCAGUGAACAUUUAAUUACCAACCAAUCACAUGUUCCAACAAGUUGCUACAACUAAAAAAGCAACAAUACAUCCUAUAAUCUCAGCUCCAUCAGUUAAUAAGUUGCAUAGAUCAUUAACAGAAGAUAGACUUAGAGCUCCUGAGGAACCUCCCUUUGUUUAACAUAAUAGCAUCAUCAAUAUACUCUAUCUUAUUAACUGACAUUCAACCGAUCAAGGGUAAGAAAUUAGAAAUGUGCUGCAUUGAACAAAGGCACAAGGUAGACAUCUAUAGUGUAGAGUAACAACUUUAGUGCUAUUUUUUCAGCCUAAACUUUUCAACACCCAUCAUGUGUCUAAUAUAGAUGUAAAAUAGAUGAAGAAAUUCCUAGAUGUGUAUUGGCCAUUGUUGGGCUGUCCCAGGCCAUGUGCCAGGUGGGCGACAGCAUAGGACCGGCAGAAACAUGGAGGCUGAAAAUUUAACCUUUUUACUACUUAGUAUUAUUAGUUAUUAGCAAACCUGAUCAUGCCUCCAGUUAAUGUUUUCUUUUUCUUAUUAUGCGACAACAUUCCAGAAAAAACACUGUGGUUUCCCUCCUUCCUCUCAAUCCCUUUCCAUAUCUGUCCUGUUGCAGACCAAUAGUUUCCCAUUUUUUAUGAGAAAAAAAAUAACAGAUCUACUCCAAAUUCUCCUCCCUCUCUUAUUAAUUUGUGAUGUCAUUAGUUUGAUACUUUGAAGUCGUAGAAGUUUAUUGACUAAAUUACCCUAAUGUGGAAAGUUCGGGGCCUAAAUUAGAGUUUGGCACAUGCCCCCAAACUUUCAGUCAUGACCUGCAUGUGUAGCUAGUGUCAGAUUGUCUGUAACCAAAAUAAAAGGUAUUGGUAAGCAUAACAAAGUUCAUGUCUAUCUUAUCCUAUAAAUUUGCUGAACACAUAUAGUAUCGUACUAUCCAUAUUUUCGUUACUGAAAAUUUACAUGUUCCCAACAUUGUCAAAUCAUAAACCAAGCAAAGUUGUACCGGAGUGCAGAGGGACAUAGCAAAAUUGUACCUGGAGUGCAGAAGCUCGUGUAGGGAACAACACAGGGAACACGACCAAGCAAGCCAUCUUCAUCACAUUCCCCCUUGUAUACCUUCCGCACCCGACCAGACUUUAGAUCAAAACUGAAUAGCACACCAUCAUUCAUUCCCACGAAAAAGACAUCAACACCAUGCACAAAGCCAAGGAAGCCAUAUGAUGGAGCCGGCAUCGACUGGAAGCAACUUCUGAAGCUCAAUGACUCUAGUCCGUGUCCAUCCCACGCCUCCGUUUGGAUUCACCUCCAUUGACCAGAGCAAGAGUCUGGCGGCCAUAUCCACUCUUGCAAAUCCCAGCCCACCACCCUCCAUCUCCAUGAGCGCAAUAGCACAAUUGGAGGCUCGAGGUAAGUGAAUCACAGAUGUCUCCCUUGUGACCAAAUCAAAACCAAGGACCCUACUGCCAUUAUCAAUCGAGAAGUAGAGUGUGUUCCCCACAAGGGCAGUGGGCACUAGAUCGACGCUGCACAUGGGGACCAGAGUCGGCUCGCUCCAGCAGGAUGCCGCCGAUGAGUAGACGCGCAAGGACCAGCGCUGGCCCUGGCUGCAGCUGUAGUACUUGGUGACAAAGCGAACGACGACGAAGGCUGUACCAUCGGCCGUGGGCUCGCGGAGCACAGUCGCGUACCACUCGUCCCGUUCACAUUCGUCCAGGACUGGUAUCUCCCACCGCUCGCCCGUUGUCGGGUCCCAGAUGACGAGGGCGUCCACCUCGUCGUCACCCAGGACGAAGUGGAGGACGACGAGGCCGUGGCGGGCGUCGAGGACGACGCAGUCGCGGACCGGCGGCGGAAAGAGGAGGUGGGGACGAACCGGGCGAACAAGGGGUUGCAGAGGAAGCCGAGCAGUGGUGCUGUGCGGUGUAACUCCUUGAACCGGCGGCGGAAGCUGCGGGCACAGACGAUGCGGCACCAGGGCUUGCAGACGAGCGCGGCGCGGACGAGGCUCACGGGAUCGGCCGGUGGGAGGCGGAGGAGGAUCUCUUCGACGACGUCGGCCGGCAGCUCCAUACUGCUACAGAUCCGGGGAGAGGAGCGGCGCUGCCUGGUGCGAAUUGGCGCGUUUAGAGUAGACUAGUGAAGGUCCAAGUGCUCGUUUUGUUUGAGCCCCACUUCCUGUACCUGUAGCAAAUGGGGCAGGAAAAUUAUAAGAGCAAGGAAGUUUAAGAAAACAACACAAUGUCCACACUUUUGAUAAUGCUUUUAUGUGGAAAAACUCUCAAAAUGAGGAGUAAAAAACCAUGGGACCAUCACGGUCCACUGCCAAACUUUCCAUUACAUGAGGAUGAUGAAUACCAUGUACUCUUUACAAUAUCUACAGAUAAUAUUAGAUCUGAAAACCAUCAUAAUAAAACCCUUGCACGACCAAACAUAACCACGAAUGUAACCUUGAGCUAACAGGAGUUAACCACUUCACCAACAUAAGGUCAUGCCGUUGAAUCCUGAAACAGUCAAUCCAUUUUGCACGCUGCUGAACAAUGGCAACACAAACUAAAAAAGUCUCUCUCAAACGUGAUGUUCUUCUAGCACAGUACACAAGUUUUUCCACAGCUGCGGCUCAAGUAAAACAUGUUUUACUGAACUUCUUUUCAAGUCUAUCUUUGGAGCAACGUGGCAUCUAAACUUGUCCGUGCAAAGGUGUUUUUCUCCCUUUUGAACCCCAGUAUCUUGAACAUGACUUAAGACCAUGCCAGUUUCUAGGCUCAUUGAUGCUGCUGCAACUGCAAUGGAACUAUGAAAUGACUGCACCUCUACCAGUUGCAGCAUCGCUACUCACUUGGUACAAAGAACAUCCAUAGUUCAGAACAAUCCCUUUCCUAAAACAGAAGACAAAUUGAAUAAUUGAAGUCACUUAUUUGCAUAAUGUCACGGACAUAAUAUUAAUCUCUAUGUAUCCUAAUGUCACCACAUUGACAGAGAAGCAAAUACUAUUCAUUUUCAAAAAUUGUAAAAUAUCUAUAUUUUCAUUAUCUUCAAAUUCAGUUAUGAGUGUUCAUUUUAUAUUAUCAGAAAAAUCAGUAUGUUUCAUAGAGGCUUCCAACAUUAAGACCUAUUUGUAUAAUUAUGUACUGUAAUAUUGUAUGGGCAUGGCUAUUUAAAAGGUCAAAAAGGGGGCAGCAGCCAGAUAUAUCUAAAUAAUGAAACAAGCUACAACGUCAUAUCAGUAUGGCUCAGUGACUGACUGACGCUCCUAACAUAACCAGAGAGAGAGAGAGAGAGAGAGUUUCAAAUGUUCAGCCUUCUAAUAUUUUAGCCCCAUUCAUUAGCAAGCUUCAAGUAAGGAAACAAAUUUUACAUGCUAUUAACACUGGAAAAAUGUCACUUCAAUGAAACUGGAUGGAUGGAGUGUCAGCAAAUUGGCUUGGAACUAAUAAAAUUUCUAUGUCUAAUAAAAUUUACAGGCACAACUUUAUUUUUGUCGUCUUUACAAAAAACAAAAAAAAUGAGAGAAAGGAGGUGAGAUACUGAGAGAGAUAUUUUGCAGAAGUAGCGCCUCAAAAGCCAGCAGUCUUGUAGGAGUACAAAACAGCGGGCUGCUGUGCUGCCGCCCCACACACGACCUGCGAACCCCAGGAUG